This 454-nucleotide ribosomal RNA is filed under the name Streptococcus mitis. RNAcentral's name for it is "bacterial SSU rRNA". It matches the Rfam family "Bacterial small subunit ribosomal RNA", at positions 28 to 468 of the family's 1533-position model. Lineage: Bacteria; Bacillati; Bacillota; Bacilli; Lactobacillales; Streptococcaceae. The record is from RNAcentral.
GACGAACGCUGGCGGCGUGCCUAAUACAUGCAAGUAGAACGCUGAAGGAGGAGCUUGCUUCUCUGGAUGAGUUGCGAACGGGUGAGUAACGCGUAGGUAACCUGCCUGGUAGCGGGGGAUAACUAUUGGAAACGAUAGCUAAUACCGCAUAAGAGUAGAUGUUGCAUGACAUUUGCUUAAAAGGUGCAAUUGCAUCACUACCAGAUGGACCUGCGUUGUAUUAGCUAGUUGGUGGGGUAACGGCUCACCAAGGCGACGAUACAUAGCCGACCUGAGAGGGUGAUCGCCACACUGGGACUGAGACACGGCCCAGACUCCUACGGGAGGCAGCAGUAGGGAAUCUUCGGCAAUGGACGAAAGUCUGACCGAGCAACGCCGCGUGAGUGAAGAUAGGUUUUCGGAUCGUAAAGCUCUGUUGUAAGAGAAGAACGAGUGUGAGAGUGGAAAGUUCACA